RNAcentral lists this ribosomal RNA (490 nucleotides) under uncultured bacterium. RNAcentral describes it as "bacterial SSU rRNA". It matches the Rfam family "Bacterial small subunit ribosomal RNA", at positions 15 to 518 of the family's 1533-position model. The record is from RNAcentral.
GAUCUUGGUCAGGACGAACGCUGGCGGCAUGCCUAACACAUGCAAGUCGAACGGGGGUAGCAAUACCCUAGUGGCGAACGGGUGAGUAACACAUAAGCAAUCUGCCCUUCGACAGGGGGAUAACGAGCGGGAAACUGCUGGCUAAUACCGCAUAAGACCACAGUACCGCAUGGUACAGGGGUAAAAACGAAUCGAGUGGUGAAGGAUGAGCGUUAUGUCCCAUUAGCUAGUUGGUGAGAUAACAGCCCACCAAGGCGACGAUGGGUAGCCGACCUGAGAGGGUGAUCGGCCACACUGGAACUGAGACACGGUCCAGACUCCUACGGGAGGCAGCAGGUGGGGAAUAUUGGGCAAUGGGAAACGGAAACUCUUACCCAGCAAUGCCGCGUGAGUGAAGAAGGUCUUCGGAUUGUAAAGCUCUUUGAUUGGGGACGAAGAAAGUGACGGUACCCAAAGAACAAGCCCCGGCUAACUACGUGCCAGCCGCCGC